Molecule: long non-coding RNA, 1033 nt
Filed under: Vitis vinifera (wine grape)
Lineage: Eukaryota; Viridiplantae; Streptophyta; Magnoliopsida; Vitales; Vitaceae
Description: long non-coding RNA (VVIN_LNC003843)
Source: RNAcentral
UGGUCUCUAAAUUUAAUUACUUACAUUACAUUCACCUUCAAACUGAAAAAAAAAAAAAGCAGCAGUUUACAAGCCAAGAGCUCCAAGGGGUGUCUUCCCUUGGCCAGCCUCAAAGUAGAAGAUUAGCAUAGCCAACAUGGCAAUCCUUGCAUGCUUAAUCUCCGCUAGUUUCAGUCUCUCGAGCUUUUCCACAUCUGGGAUGUACACUCCAUCUUUGAUUGUGCCAGCGAGUGACAGUGGGUCGAAGAAUUUCCCUCCCGGGUAGCCCUGCUCCCCGGUGGCGUUGGCAAAGUUCUCAGCCGUCCUCGACCACGGGGUGGCCCAUUCCACGGACUGUGACUCCGGGUUGAAGAAAUCCACCCACCUCUUGCUCUCAACCCACCCCAUGAGCAGGAGUUGGGUUCCAAGGAGGGUCCCGAAAGAGAACGGUGCAACGGCGCCAGGGGCUGCUCCGGCUUCGAACCAUGGGAUGCCGCUCCAGGCUUGGCCGACGAAGAUUCCCACAACUGCUGCCAUGGCCCAUCGCCCGUGGAUCAGCUCGGCUUCCCUGUACCACUUGAGGAAUGCUGGGUCCUUGCCUAGUCCGAGUGGAUCAAAGCCAUAGUCACCGGGAAGCCUGCAGAUUUACACACAUAUUUCAAUUUAACUAAAAAGCUGAAGGUUGAAGCUGUUAAAUAAUUAGUCCAUUGAAACAUUUAUGUAAUGAGCCAACAAUGAGUAGAGAGUAUAAUGAGAGACUUACGAGCCAUCGAGCCACUCAGGGUCGACGAGGUUGCCACCAGCUUUAACACCAGGAAGCCACGACUUCUUAGGGGCAGCAGCGACGACAAUGAGCCUCCUGGGGGCAGGCACAGCAGCACCAGCUUUGGCUGCAACCCCGGCAGACAACAAGCUCUGGCUCCUCUUGCCUCCAGUCAAGAACGGAGAGCCCAGCCCAUUCAACACAGCAGCAGAAGUUGCAGCCAUCUCUACAACCUUGUGUUAUAUCUCUCUAGAGAUGGAAAAUGGGGAAACGGGGAGAAGUGGACAGAGG